This 772-nucleotide ribosomal RNA is filed under the name uncultured bacterium. Its description in RNAcentral is "bacterial SSU rRNA". It matches the Rfam family "Bacterial small subunit ribosomal RNA", at positions 8 to 796 of the family's 1533-position model. The record is from RNAcentral.
AGAGUUUGAUCCUGGCUCAGGACGAACGCUGGCGGCGUGCUUAACACAUGCGAGUCGAACGGAAAGGCCCUUCGGGGUACUCGAGUGGCGAACGGGUGAGUAACACGUGGGUGAUCUGCCCUGCACUUUGGGAUAAGCCUGGGAAACUGGGUCUAAUACCGAAUACACCUCAUUGACUGCAUGGUUGGUGGGGGAAAGCUUUUGCGGUGUGGGAUGGGCCCGCGGCCUAUCAGCUUGUUGGUGAGGUUACGGCUCACCAAGGCGACGACGGGUAGCCGGCCUGAGAGGGUGACCGGCCACACUGGGACUGAGAUACGGCCCAGACUCCUACGGGAGGCAGCAGUGGGGAAUAUUGCACAAUGGGCGCAAGCCUGAUGCAGCGACGCCGCGUGGGGGAUGACGGCCUUCGGGUUGUAAACUCCUUUCAGCACAGACGAAGCGCAAGUGACGGUAUGUGCAGAAGAAGGACCGGCCAACUACGUGCCAGCAGCCGCGGUAAUACGUAGGGUCCGAGCGUUGUCCGGAAUUACUGGGCGUAAAGAGCUCGUAGGUGGUUUGUCGCGUUGUUCGUGAAAACUCACAGCUUAACUGUGGGCGUGCGGGCGAUACGGGCAGACUUGAGUACUGCAGGGGAGACUGGAAUUCCUGGUGUAGCGGUGGAAUGCGCAGAUAUCAGGAGGAACACCGGUGGCGAAGGCGGGUCUCUGGGCAGUAACUGACGCUGAGGAGCGAAAGCGUGGGGAGCGAACAGGAUUAGAUACCCUGGUAGUCC